Molecule: unclassified non-coding RNA, 86 nt
Filed under: Pseudomonas trivialis
Lineage: Bacteria; Pseudomonadati; Pseudomonadota; Gammaproteobacteria; Pseudomonadales; Pseudomonadaceae
Source: RNAcentral
UGUGGGAGCUGGCUUGCCUGCGAUGCGCACACCUCGCGGCCCGGUGGCACCGGGGUGAUGCCAUCGCAGGCAAGCCAGCUCCCACA